UAGGGAAUCUUCGGCAAUGGGGGGAACCCUGACCGAGCAACGCCGCGUGAGUGAAGAAGGUUUUCGGAUCGUAAAGCUCUGUUGUUAAGGAAGAACGAGUGUGAGAAUGGAAAGUUCAUACUGUGACGGUACUUAACCAGAAAGGGACGGCUAACUACGUGCCAGCAGCCGCGGUAAUACGUAGGUCCCGAGCGUUGUCCGGAUUUAUUGGGCGUAAAGCGAGCGCAGGCGGUUAGAUAAGUCUGAAGUUAAAGGCAGUGGCUCAACCAUUGUAGGCUUUGGAAACUGUUUAACUUGAGUGCAGAAGGGGAGAGUGGAAUUCCAUGUGUAGCGGUGAAAUGCGUAGAUAUACGGAGGAACACCGGUGGCGAAAGCGGCUCUCUGGUCUGUAACUGACGCUGAGGCUCGAAAGCGUGGGGAGCGAACAGG
This 429-nucleotide ribosomal RNA is filed under the name Bacteroidota bacterium. RNAcentral describes it as "Bacteroidetes bacterium partial 16S ribosomal RNA". It matches the Rfam family "Bacterial small subunit ribosomal RNA", at positions 355 to 776 of the family's 1533-position model. The record is from RNAcentral. Lineage: Bacteria; Pseudomonadati; Bacteroidota.